Non-coding RNA from Anas platyrhynchos (mallard), 759 nucleotides. NCBI's taxonomy places the organism in Eukaryota, Metazoa, Chordata, Aves, Anseriformes, Anatidae. The record is from RefSeq and is a predicted model, not a curated record.
UUGGCGGAGCCGAGACUCCCCGGCCGCCCAGCGCUGUUUUGCUUGCUGUUGCUUACUCAAUAACUUCCUUUCUAUUAUUAAUGCAAUGCUCUCCGAAAAUUAAUUAAGGGGGCAACUUAUAACAAAUUUGGUGCCGUGACUCGGAUGAAGGCAAUCUGAUUGAAAGACCUUCGGAGGGGGCGCCCCGCUGAUUUCAGCGGCCUUCGCUAGGACUACUUUCAUUCAAAUCCUUCACCGACGAACCCUAAAUUCGGCAGCAAGCAAAUAAAGCCGGCAACCCCUAGUAAUCUUUGUGCACGAAGACCGAACGAAGACUCAGGAGUGAGUGAUAAUUAUACCAAGGAUUCUAUACCACCCUGAGGAUUAUAUGUACACCCAGACACAGUGGAAAGUCAUCAUCUGGAAAGACGGGAACCAUUCAUGGCUCUAACUUUGGCCACCCUAAUAAUCCUGGGAGGAGCUGGAGUGGGAACCAGGGUAGCCUCAUUGGUUAAACAAAAUCAAGAAUUUACUUCCUUAUGCAUUGCUGUGGACGAGGACCUGACCCAAAUUGAACAAUCCAUUUCGGCCCUGGAAAAUCUAUCAGGUUGCUUUCAGAGGUAGUGUUACAAAAUCAUAGGGGAUUAGAUUUGGUAUUUUUUUACAACAGGACGGGCUGUGUGCAGCCCCGAAAGAGGAAUGCUGUGUGUAUGCUGAUCACACUGGAGAGGUAAGAGAUACAAUGGCAAGACCCAGGGAAGGGUUGAAAAAAAAAAAAAA